UCUCUCCCUCUCGGCAUUGUGUACAGGCAAACACCAAAACCCAUUCAAAUUUCGUAGAUCGAGGAUGUUGAAGGUACCAUCGUGUUCCUUGCAAGCUCAGGAACACAUCUAGACCAUUUUCAGGUAAGGACAGCUUUGUCUUCACUUCGAAACCAUAACCCCGAUUUGGGGGUACUGUUCAUGCAAAUGUUAAAUCUUGUGUUUUUAGAAAUUUCAAGCUCACAGGAAGUUUAAGGAGGUCCUCACGAGUCUCGGGGUACUUCGUUGGAAGGAAAGGGACGUCGGAGGGCCGAGAUCGAAGUUAUUCUAGGUAAGUCGAACUAUUAA
Molecule: long non-coding RNA, 327 nt
Filed under: Malus domestica (apple)
Lineage: Eukaryota; Viridiplantae; Streptophyta; Magnoliopsida; Rosales; Rosaceae
Description: long non-coding RNA (MDOM_LNC008468)
Source: RNAcentral